This is a long non-coding RNA of Homo sapiens (human), 1261 nucleotides long. Lineage: Eukaryota; Metazoa; Chordata; Mammalia; Primates; Hominidae. The record is from Ensembl.
GGGCACAAGCAGAUCCAGAACGCCAUGGCUACCAAACAUGACCUGCCGCAAAGCCUGUCUAAGAACAUUUUUGGCAGCUGGAAAUGUUCCUGCCUACCAGUCUGUCACAGACGGCAUGUGCCAUGGGCUACCAGCACUGAGCAACUCUCUCAGGAAGAGCAUUUUUGCCUCACAGCUCAGCCUGCCCCAGCCACUGGAUCCACGGAGCCUCCAGGCAUUUGAGCUGUUUCCUUGGAGAGCAUUUCUGGAAGAUGGAGGACCAUUCCCAGUUAUGAGUAACAGCCCAGAUACCCUAGAAUAUAAUAUGCAGCUGUGCCUCUGUGGGCUGAGUGACCGUGACCGCAAGGUGGCUCAUGGAGAACUGGUGGGUGUGCAACUGCUACUGGAAGAUGUUCUGAGUAGCUAUCAUGUGACCAUGGAGGCCCCCCAAAGACAGCAAGCCACACUGGGCAAAAAUACACAGCCAGAUUGGUCCAAAGUGCCAGGAUUCAGAAGUCAGUUCCGAAGCAGCCCAAAGACCUCUGAGCUGCUGGAGGGCCUGUGCGAUGCGGUGAUGUCCUUUGCUUUGCUGAGAUCAUUUCUGAUACUGUGGAAGCAGCUGGAAGUGCUAAAGGAGCACUGGGGCCGACUCAAGCUGCAAGGCCAGGAUAUCAACUCUGUCUCUCUCCACAAACGGUUUUCAGAGCUCUAUGAAACUGACGUUCUCUACCCCAGCAUGAAAGCUAUAGCCAGGCAGAUGGGGAAAGAAGAUGAAUUUGAAGGAUUUAUAGUAAAUAAUCAGUCUGUUCUUCCCCCCAGUGGAGCCUCAGAAGUUGAAAUAAAAACUCACCAAGUAUGCAGGAUAUAUUUUAAAUUUGCCUUUGAAAAUGUCCUUUAUGGCAUUAGCAUGUAAAACUACAGGCAUACCCAAAUGGUAUUUUUUCCAAGAAGCUGAGUGUAAAUUGCAGGGUUGUAAAUCAUUGAAUGGGCUGGAGGGAGGGCAGGACUAAGUAUUUAAAGCCAUGUGGUGCUUCGAUGAAGCAAAUUACUACCCUUAAUGUCCCUGUUCUAUAAGUCUGGAUUUUUAUCAUUUUGAUUUUCCUCAAAUUGAUGUGUACCUUCAUAAGAAUGAUCAUAGAAAACAUAACCACUAUCUUAAGCAUAAAAUUUAGCAUGCAAGUAUUCACAUGGAAAUGAAAUAUUUGUAAAAGCUCCCUGUAAUUGUUUUUCUGAGAAUAAGAAAAUGCCCAUUUGGUAUGUGUAAGAUGAUCUGUGUGGAGAA